This 406-nucleotide ribosomal RNA is filed under the name uncultured bacterium. RNAcentral describes it as "partial 16S ribosomal RNA". It matches the Rfam family "Bacterial small subunit ribosomal RNA", at positions 30 to 526 of the family's 1533-position model. The record is from RNAcentral.
AUUGAACGCUGGCGGCAGGCCUAACACCUGCAAGUCGAGCGAGCGGCGGAAGGGUGAGUAAUGUCUGGGAAACUGACUGAAGGAGGGGGAUAACUACUGGAAACGGUAGCUAAUACCGCAUAACGUCAGAUGUGCACAGAUGGGAUAAGCUAGUAGGUGGGGUAAUGGCUCACCUAGGCGAAGAUCCCUAGCUGGUCUGAGAGGAUGACCAGCCACACUGGAACUGAGACACGGUCCAGACUCCUACGGGAGGCAGCAGUGGGGAAUAUUGCACAAUGGGCGCAAGCCUGAUGCAGCCAUGCCGCGUGUAUGAAGAAGGCCUUCGGGUUGUAAAGUACUUUCAGUCGGGAGGCGUUACCGACAGAAGAAGCACCGGCUAACUCCGUGCCAGCAGCCGCGGUAAUUC